UCCUUCCGGGGGGGGKGCCAGUAGGGAAUCUUCCGCAAUGGGCGAAAGCCUGACGGAGCAAUGCCGCGUGAGUGAUGAAGGUUUUCGGAUCGUAAAGCUCUGUUGCCAGGGAAGAACGCUUGGGAGAGUAACUGCUCUCAAGGUGACGGUACCUGAGAAGAAAGCCCCGGCUAACUACGUGCCAGCAGCCGCGGUAAUACGUAGGGGGCAAGCGUUGUCCGGAAUUAUUGGGCGUAAAGCGCGCGCAGGCGGUCAUUUAAGUCUGGUGUUUAAUCCCGGGGCUCAACCCCGGAUCGCACUGGAAACUGGGUGACUUGAGUGCAGAAGAGGAGAGUGGAAUUCCACGUGUAGCGGUGAAAUGCGUAGAUAUGUGGAGGAACACCAGUGGCGAAGGCGACUCUCUGGGCUGUAACUGACGCUGAGGCGCGAAAGCGUGGGGAGCAAACAGGAUUAGAUACCCCCUG
Molecule: ribosomal RNA, 464 nt
Filed under: Paenibacillus mobilis
Lineage: Bacteria; Bacillati; Bacillota; Bacilli; Caryophanales; Paenibacillaceae
Description: bacterial SSU rRNA
Source: RNAcentral